This 236-nucleotide ribosomal RNA is filed under the name uncultured bacterium. Its description in RNAcentral is "partial 16S ribosomal RNA". It matches the Rfam family "Bacterial small subunit ribosomal RNA", at positions 114 to 334 of the family's 1533-position model. The record is from RNAcentral.
CACGUGGGCAAUCUGCCUCGAAGUGGGGGAUAACAUCGGGAAACCGGUGCUAAUACCGCGUAAUAUCCAGGGAUCGCAUGUUUCCUGGAUCAAAGGUGGGGAUCUUUCGGGACCUACCGCUUUGAGAGGAGCCCGCGGUCGAUUAGCUUGUUGGUGGGGUAAUGGCUCACCAAGGCAAUGAUCGAUAGCCGACCUGAGAGGGUGACCGGCCACACUGGGACUGAGAUACGGCCCAG